CGGAGGGUGCAAGCGUUAUCCGGAUUCACUGGGUUUAAAGGGUGCGUAGGUGGGCAAGUAAGUCAGUGGUGAAAUCUCCGGGCUUAACCCGGAAACUGCCAUUGAUACUAUUUGUCUUGAAUACUGUGGAGGUCAGCGGAAUAUGUCAUGCAGCGGUGAAAUGCUUAGAUAUGACAUAGAACACCAAUUGCGAAGGCAGCUGGCUACACAAAUAUUGACACUGAGGCACGAAAGCGUGGGGAUCAAACAGGAUUAGAUACCCUGGUAGUCCACGCCCUAAACUAUGGAUACUCGACAUUUGCGAUAAACUGCAAGUGUCUGAGCGAAAGCAUUAAGUAUCCCACCUGGGAAGUACGAUCGCAAGAUUG
RNAcentral lists this ribosomal RNA (368 nucleotides) under uncultured organism. RNAcentral's name for it is "bacterial SSU rRNA". It matches the Rfam family "Bacterial small subunit ribosomal RNA", at positions 526 to 896 of the family's 1533-position model. The record is from RNAcentral.